RNAcentral lists this ribozyme (116 nucleotides) under Aedes aegypti (yellow fever mosquito). RNAcentral's name for it is "drz-agam-1 ribozyme". It matches the Rfam family "drz-agam-1 ribozyme". The record is from Rfam by way of RNAcentral. Lineage: Eukaryota; Metazoa; Arthropoda; Insecta; Diptera; Culicidae.
UGCCCAGCAACUCCAAUUCCUACCUCGUCGUGGUACUGGCCGGGGUACGAGCAACCUUAGGGAAGAUCGGGUAACCAACCCUGAUGGGAACUUUGGUCAUAUGCUGACAGAGAAGG